Long non-coding RNA from Chenopodium quinoa (quinoa), 9275 nucleotides. RefSeq lists it as uncharacterized. Lineage: Eukaryota; Viridiplantae; Streptophyta; Magnoliopsida; Caryophyllales; Amaranthaceae. The transcript is spliced from 8 exons. The record is from RefSeq and is a predicted model, not a curated record.
AUAAACUAGGCGCUCAAAUUUUCACUAAUUCCUUCUACUUUUUUCACCAAAUUUUAAAACACCUACACGUGUAGUGUACUGCUUUCAUUUCAAGGGGAAUUUUUUUUUUUUUUCAAAAAAAGGAAAUGAACAAGCUGGUCUUCUCUCUCCUCGAUUCCCCCAUUUCCAUAUUUCCAUUCAUACUUUCAGACAAAACUCAAAAACCUUAGAGUAGAUAAUUUCACCCAAAAUUGGGUAGUAAAAUUUCACAAAAAAUCAGAGGAAAAUUAAGACAAUUCGACAUGAAAAAACUAUAGAAGUAGAUGAAAGUGGUGUUCAUUUGCUCGAUCCAUUAAAGCGGGGGUGUGUUGCUUGAGGCGGUGGUUGUUUCAGUUAGAGGUGGCUCGAUAAUCUGCGUGUGGAAAAUUUUAAUUGUUCGGUUUGCUUACAGUAUCCUAUCCUUUCCGACGAGGCUCUUGUUCACCGGCGCUGCGGCACCCCUUGGCCUUGCUAGCUCGAGGUAUGUCAUAUUGUCAUGAAAGUUUGCUUAACCAUUAUAUGAGCAUGUUUGAAUUUAUCAAUCUAGCUAAUUUUUGGGAAAUUUUUAUAACAAAAAUCAUAAAGUUUUACAUCUAAUUGUAUGGGGCUUUAAAUUUGACUAAUUUAUGGGAUUCUUGUUGUUCAAUGAGCAUGUUGGUUGUACAUUGUCCCUUUGUUGGUAUUAAAACUAUUAAUGGCCCAUAAUGAAAACUUGAAAGCAUAGUCAGUCAGGGUGAUUGUGUUUAUGUGAUUUGUAGUUUGGUCUCUUCUUUUCAUUCUUUUUUUUGUCAAGUAUGAGAGUGUGAAAAGCAGAUGCUAGAAAGGGAAAAUUGGAAUGUCAUGUGAAUGAAAAGAAAGAAAAAAGAAAGAAAAGCUAACAGCUAGUGUUAACUCACAACAAACCUCUAAUUCCUAUAUAGGGAUGAAUUCCUGAAAUUAGGACACUUUAAAUUGUUGUUCAUUUGUUGGAAUUAAAUAAUCUGAAUGAGAACUACUACAACUAAUUUAGUUUGAAUGAUAGCUUUUCCAAGUAUUCUUUUUAAUGAUAUUGUAGUACUUGGGUAUUGUUACUUUUCCAACUCACCUUAUUACCAUCAUCUUAGUUUCAAGGUGGGCCGGAACACAGUGAUGUAAUGAACUCAAUACUCUUUGUAUAAUGACCAUUAUUUAUUGGUUCGGGUACAUUGAAUGGGUAUAUAUAUUUUCUGUAUUCUCAUGCCCCUGUGGUGUAUUGGUACUGAUAUGUCCCUACACUCAGAAUAACUCCUGUAAUCGUUUAAGUGUUUUACGAGAUAAAACAUGAAUCCACAAUUCCACACUGAUCUUUGUCUACUUAUUUGUCAGGACUCCCUAUGUUUUCAAAUAUUAUAUCUACAUUUUGCUGUCUUGUUGUGCUUAUAAUCAGAUUACUUUCUGAUCUUCAAGAAAAUUUGUAGACAUUAUGAACCAUAUCAAUAACCCGAGUCUUUUCCCUAGGCCUAGAUCCUUCUAUGCAAUCUGGGGAAGCGAACAACAAACGGUGAAGCUCAUUAUAAAUCUGUAAAUAACUCACUAUUACAUCAUGUAGCCAAAAUAAGAUUUUAUUGCAUUACUUCUCAUAUCUCUAAAAUCUAACAUGUUUAUAUAUUUGACUUUAGUUGAUUCCUCUUAUCUCUUCCCCUAAUAGAAAUAAGUAGGAGAGAAUUCCGUUUUAAACCUUUUUAAUAAUUUCAUAUAACAAUUAGGCUAAAGUACUUGCUUGUAUUUGAUCUUUUGUUGCUAUAGAUGAAAGGUAAUAAGUCUAUAUUUUCAACACAACGAAAUCAACUUUCAGAAUAUGAAUGACUUCGAUUUGAGAAAUUAGAAAAGAAUGUAGAACGAAUGAAGGCUAAAGGUAGUUCAGGAGCAGAACUCUUCGCUAACAAGAUUUUGCAAGAAAAAAACUCGUUCUCUGUUUUUGGUAAAAAUACCAAGGCCACGUGGCCUAAGAGGGUGACACGUGUCACCUUAGGAGAGGUUCAAAAUGAACCAAUCCUCAACAUGUGGCACUCCCAAUCAGUAGGGAAAAAGACGGCCUUUAGGGCCCAAUUCCCGAGAAAAGCCGUAAAAUGGCGCAGCCCCCCAAAUAUAGGUCAAAAUGACCUAAGUAGGGGCACAUUUACUAACGACCCUAUAAAUACGGAGAUUUACCCUAUUUUGGGGACACGUUCUUUUAUUACACAUAAUUAAUUCUCUCACAUAAGAGAAAACACCUGAUCUCGAGAUCUGAGAAGGUCUACUUUUGCUUUAUGCACUUUUUACCUUACUCCGAAGACUUUCUAACUUGAUCGUCAGAGGCGGAACUCCGAACAACCGGAGUAUCCGUUGUUUUGCAGGUACAGCCGGCGGGAAAAAAGUCUUGGUGAUGUAACUCUCUCGGGGGACACAAAAAUCCCCGAAACAUUUGACGCCAUCAGUGGGGAGAGUACCUCUAAGAUGGUUUCUCAAGAGACUGUUACGCCUCCUGAGAACAAGGAGCCUACGACUGAGGUCUAUUCAACAAAGCUAAUUGAAAGUCAAAUGCAUUCAACAAAGCUACUUCUAGCCUACUCUUGAGGCAGACGCCAUGGAAAAGGUGAAGAGGUGUGAUAAAUGUCAGAUUUGGCAAACUCGUAUACCACCCGACAACUGAUCUGAAGGCCAUUCAUAGCCCAGUACCAUUCGCCAAAUGGGGCAUGGACAUUCUAGGUCUGUAUACGCCUACGCCAGGCGGACGACAGUUUAUUCUAGUUGUCAUUGACUAUUUCACCAAGUGGGUAGAGGCAGAGGCGGUCAAAGGCAUCAAGACAAAGGAUGUCAUCUCCUUCAUCUGGAAGAACAUCAUCACCCGGUUCGGGGUACCUAUGUCUUUGGUUUUUAACAAUGGCCCCCAGUUUGAGAUGCCUACCUUUAAGAACUGGUUGUGAGACUAAGGGAUCUCUCAUUGUUGUGCAUCAGUCAGCCGUCCCCAAGCAAAUGGCCAGGUUGAAGCCUUCAACAAGCUAAUCUCAGACGACAUAAAAAAGAAAAUUGAAAGGGCUGACAGUCUAUGGGCAGAAGAGUUAACUCAUGUCCUAUGGGCCAUCAGAACAACAACAAAGGGGGCAACCGUCGAAACCCCAUUUCUUAUAGUGUACGGUGCUAAAGCCGUCUUGCCUAUUUAACAUUAUGAGCCAACUCUUCGAGUCAUGUUGUAUGAUGAAGAGGCAAACUAGGAGGCCAUGCGGCUAGCAUGGGACUCACUUCCAGAACGCAGGGGUAAUGCCGCCUUUUUUCAUGAGAUAUACCGUCUGAGAAUGAAAAGAGUCUACAACAAAAGAGUGCGCAAACGGCCCUUGAAAGGAGAGGACUUUGUGUUACGGAAAAUGGAGGCAACCGGUAGGGCCAAUGAGCAAGGCAAGUUGACGCCCAAUUGGGAAGGUCCCUACUGGAUCUAUGAAGAAGUAAGAGGCGACACCUACCGCCUGGAAACUUCAGAUGGUAGGAAGCUAACCAGAACUUGGAAUGUUGACAAUCUAAAGAUGUACUACUUCUAAGACUUAAAAAUUUUUUGUAAAUGAAAAGCCUAUAAUGAAAAAUUGCUUUUUGUUUUCAAUUUUGAUUACUUAUGCUUUAUUAGAUAAGUCUCCCAAUGGGAACACCGCCUGUGCAAUCAAACUGUCAAAUCUAAACCAGCCGUCUGCUCCAACAUGAGUACGACAUCCGGCGACGCCCAUCCGGGUGAUUUGAUCGCAGAGAGCAUCUCACAUUUAGGUGGCACAUUGCUUUAUAAACUCAAACACAAACGACAAAGACUGACUAACCUAAUAGGGGCUAGUUCACAGUCGUUUGACUCGAAUAAUCUAAAAUGGAACUUAGACGGCUUAAAAAAACCACAUGUCCUAUUUGACAUCACGCGGUAUCCGGCUGUAUCCAACUUAGAUUAAAAGCUCAUAAUAAUUUUGUAACUCGAGAAAUCCCUCAAUGGGGAAAAAGGACGCUUGAGUAUAUUCAUGGAUAAUCAAGUCCAAUUUCACAGAUGACCCAAACGGUGAACGUCUGGGUGUUUAAGAUAUUACCGCCUGAAUCUUGGACAGUUGUGUACUUGGCUUGGGGAAAUCGUGGUAGUGAUUGAUUGACCUAGGAACCUCUCAUACUCUUUAAAGUAUCAAAAGUUUCUCAAGUCAAUCGAUCUAUUUUGAAACCAACCACACUGCCGCCUGGGGCAAGAGGCCAGCCUGUUUGUUAGUUGCCGCAUGCAAUUAAUAAGUUAGGAAAGAUUGAAGCAUAUAUAUGGAAAAAGUCAUAAAUUGCAAGAAUUGAAAAUUUUAACAAAAUCGACUCAGUCAGUCAUUUUAAAUAAAAUCCAACCAAAAGGUUGGGAGAGUGAUUGUCAUACUGAAUUUACAUCUGGGAAAAUAAAAAGAAAUGUUGGAAAUACAUCAGAGAUACUCGGCACGCCAGCCAGAAAUACAAACGGCCAAAGGCCAAAUAGAAAUAAGGAAAGCUAAUUUUGCUGAGGCGGGGCCACCGACGCAUCCUUCCCAGGCGGAGGUAAAGCAGAGUUCACCUGUGCAUCCUCUUCCUGUUGCUCUUAAUCCUCUCCCUCCCCUGCAACCUGAGCUGGCUCCUCAUCGUUUGAGGCCUCCUUGUUUGCCCAUUCCUCAAAUCAGGCUCCGGCUUCCCUUUAGCCCUUGUAGAAAGAACAAGAUCUACGUACUGGUAGGCCAAAGCCUAGACGCCAAGGUCCCAUGCCAUCCUCAUCCGGUCCUCACAGUCUUGUUCAUUCUCCUCAAUGAGGCAGCUUGAGUAACCCUGAAGAUUUCCUGGGAAGCAGCCAUCUCAUCCUUCAGACGGUUGACGUCUGCUCGAUGGGUGGUGUUUUCCUUGUCGGCGCCCUCCAGAGCUUUGAGGUCCGCCUGGGCAUUCUUGAGCGCCGCCUAAAAAUUGGUGGCUUUCAAGUUAGCCUCAUCAAGAGCAGUCGUCAGCCGCCUGAUGGAUUCCGCUUGUGUCAUUAGCUUAGCUUUAAUCUCAGAUCAUUUAUGGUCUUCUGAUACUGGGAAACGUUAGCGGCCUCAUUCGCCCGUUUAUCGGCCCUCCUUACCUCUUCUUGAUUGCGAGCAUACGACUUCUUCAGCCCAUCUAUUCUCAGCAUCAUCUGUAUAAAUGCGAACGGUAUGUUAGAAACACAAUCGGCAUUAUACUUGAAAGAAUCUGAAUUAAGUUAUUAUACCUCAGAAAGCAGGGUGAGAAUGCGUUCGACAUUGAACGAAUGAAUCCCAGGGAUGGCCUCCUUAUCCUCCUUGGGUAUAGACCUCAGCAUGGUCUAAGAUAAUUGUUGCACAUUCGGCCACCGGAGGGAUCGAUAAGGUAGAUUUGGUGAGAAAGCUACAUAGGCGCCACCAAUAGUCUGUCGGCUGCCUGAGGAACCCUUCGACUGUAGCUAAGAACGUGACUUGACCCGCAUAGGCCAACCAAGCUCAAAGGGGGAGUCGAAGGGGUCAUCCGUACCUUGGGGAUGUUGCUGAAGGCUUAGAUCGCCCACAUCCGCUGCAGAACCGCUUACAGCUUUGGGUGGCUCGCCACCCUUCGCCACCUCAAAGGCACCCGGCUUGUUGGAUAGGUCUAUCCUAAGACCAAGGUUCUUGAUACUCUUCCCGCCGAUGGUUAGACGACCCUUCCCAAGCAGAAACUCCGGAGCCGUCUGAAUAAAAGAAACCUUUCUAGACUUGGCCGAGCUUGUGAUCCAGCUUCCGUUUGAUUAGCUUGGUAAGGGAUCUAGGAGCCCCCUUGUCUCCAUCCUGGAUAGGAAAAUUCAAACAAUAAGUAUAUAAUCGGUCAUAACCGUCUCUAUAUGCAAAGAGAGAGAAGACUAUUGCAGGCGGUUCAUACCUGACCCUUGGCCGCCAGCUAGACGUUCUUUUUCUCUGCAUUCUCCUUUCUUAUUUGAGCUGUAGAGCAGGCGGACAAGAACGCCUCGUCUCUCAACCACUCAUGCUUGGGUACUCAGUUUUUGGGUACGCUUAUAACUUGGUGGUUGCUAGGGGCAUGGUAGUCACCCCGAAGAAAUCAGGCUCUAUUAUUGCCUCCCAGUCGGCGUCUGGAACCUUAGGUUUGGCACACUUUUGGCCCAAAAGAUCCGGCUUCUUAUUGUAGCAGCGAUACUCGAAGUUUUCUCGUCGUUUGGGGGCAUAAACAAGAUAAAACUUGUUUCUCCAAUCAGACCACUUAGACGGUUUGUCUAAGGUCAUGAAGUAUUUCGGAUGGGUUGUCAAGGUGUACCAAGCACUCCAGCUGCCUGGGUUACGGCUCAAGUAAUGCAUAUGAGCAAAAGCCUCUCAGUUGAGAUGGAGGUUCUGCAUCUCACAGGCGGCAAUGUAGCCUAGAAUGUUGACCUAGGAGUUUGGGGUCAACUGCCACACACCAAGGCCGUAUCCUCGAAGGAUUGCCUUUAUUGCAUCAUGGAGGGCGAAGCAGAGACCGGCUAGGAACACCGCCUCAUAUUAGCUAAAGUACUCAUUGGCGUUUGGUUGGUUAUCUUUCCAUGCAAUGGUGCCAAGCUCAGGCGGCACCCGUAUGGCAUAGCCCUCUCCAAGAGGACGCUUCUUCCUGAAGUUCUCCAAACCUUGUUCCAUGUUGGCCCUAUCCCUGGCAUGUUAAGGGGUCCGUCUCUUUAUUCCACUUCUUUUGCUCCUCUUCCUCAGUAUCCUCAAGCGGGGAUAAUGAGCCACUACUCUCCUCAGUGCUAGACCUAGAGGCGGUCUCUCCACCGUCUCACUCUAAGCUGGUACAGAGCCGGUCUCUUCACCGUCUCUUUGUUCAAACUCAACUUCAUCAGAUUCCUCCGGGAUACUAUCACUAGGAGUGUUAGGUGCACCCAGAGGAGACUAUCUUUCCUCGCUAGCCGGUUCUACCUCAUCAGGCGGAACACCGUCUGUAUCUUCCUCUCUAUAGUCUAGAUCAGGUGUCGUCCUCAUGGUUCCAGCCAUUGUGGCCCAAUAAGAGGGUGACACAUGUCACCUUAGGAGAGGUUCAAAAUGAACCAAUCCUGUGGCACUCCUAAUCAGUAGGGAAAAAGACAGCCUUUAGGGCCCAAUUCCCGAGAAAAGCCGCAAAACGGCGCAUCCCCCCAAAUCUAGGUCAGAAUAACCUAGGUAGAGGCACAUUUACCAACGACCCUAUAAAUAGGAGAUAUCCCCCAUUUUGAGGACACGUUCUUUUAUUACACACAAUCAAUUCUCUCACAUCAGAGAAAACACCUGAUCUCGGGAUCCGAGAAGAUCUACUUUUACUUUCCGCACUUUUUACAUCACUCCGAACACUUUCUAACUUGAUUGUCAGAGGCAGAAUUCCGAACACCCGGAGCUUUCGUUGUUUUGCAGGUAUAGCCGGCGGGAAAUUAGUCUUGGUGACGUAACUCUCCCGAGGGACACAAAAAGCCCCAAAACAGUCUCGAUGUUCAAAAUGGAAAGUGCAAUGAACUAGUGAAAGACAAGGAUAAUGAGUCAACGUCUGAAUAUCAUUGGCAUGCUGAUGAGGAUGAAACCCCUGGUGAUAUGGAAACUGAAAAUAUCACUUGUCGAAAUGAAAGGUUUUAGCUCGGGCGCAAACGAUGGGUGAAUUUUUGAGGAAAAAUAAUCCUACACGAAAGCAUCAUCAAGUCCAGCAAAAUUGUGUUUAGAAGGUUCAAGAACAAUGUAACUAGAAGAAGCAACCAACAUUGAAUCAUCCUGAGAAAGAGCAACAAAGUUUAAUAUCACAAAAAAGGCAGAAAAAGAGGCCACUCUGUUCUUUAGGGUCCAUGUCAGCGUAUCUUGAGCUCCAAAGAAGCAAUUAGAAAAUAAUGACAUGGUUGCAACAGAUAAAACUCAUACAACCAUAUUAAGAGAUGAAAAUUGCAAUGAUCUGCAACAAGUUCAAUGACGACUUUAACUAUGUUAAUUAUCAAUUGGAAAUGGAGGUACUAGCUGAAUAUGGAAAGGAGGAGUUUAAAAAGAAGAAGCAUCGAGGGCCAAUAAAGCUUACAAAGGUUCAUGCUCGUACAAGAGAGGAGCACCAAGUUAUUAUUUUGAACUCAUUUGGCCAACCAAUUGGACCUACAAAGGAAAUUGUUGAAAAAUUUAUGUUCUUCUUGGGAACUUUGGGGAAGAAGUUUGAACUUGCGCCACUUAACUACACUGAUUUUCGAAAUCUGCCCACUCUUAGUAAGAUAUGGGAGUUUGUUUUGGAAAAGUAUAUGGUUCCUAAAUCGGGAAGACGAUAUGUAAUGGAGGCUGUUAAUACAAGUUGGCGUAACUAUAAAUACAGAUUCAAGAAGAAUCAGUUUUCUAAGUAUGACACUGAUGAGGAAUAAAAUAAAAUCAAUAGAGAGAACCGUCUUAAGUUAAAUGAUAUACACACGAUGGGCCGUAAGUCAUUUGCAAUAUUACGUCAUGAAUUGCAACAACUGGAUCCAAACAAACAAGAACCUUCCCAAGCAAAGGUUUACAAAGAAUCAAGGAGAGAAGGGUUCCAGGAAGGACAUACCUUACCAACAAUGAAAAGCCUGAACAAAAUAUUGAAAAGAUGGAUGCAUUAGAGUGCACCUAAGAUGAAGAAGGUAGCAACUCCAAAGAUCCUUACUCUGAAUUAGUAAAAGAUCCUAAAAGCAAAAGUAGGAUUCGACUUUUAAGAAAAGGUGUGACGAAGACUGAUUUAAAAAAAAAAAAAGGGAUGAAAAUGCAAGUUGUAUUAUUCCAAAUGAGUUCUUACAGAGUAUAAAAUCAGAGUUGGUCAACAACUUGCACCAAGCAUUGGAUCUGUCAUUAUGUCCCAACUUCAAGAAGCUAAUCCCGAAGUAAAUCUUGUCAUUCCUGAAUUUUUGAGUCAAAUAAUUCCAAGGGAUGCAUCUUCUACACUGCAUAAUGGGCAAUCUUCUGGUGUGACUGUUGUUGGGAAUGUGAAUCAGGUUAUCAAUGCAUUAUCUUGUUGCCAUUGUGUUAAAUCUUAGACUUGAUAUAUCAAUCUUUGUCAUUCCAAUUAUCACCAUUGUAGAUUGCUUAUAUCAUGGAUAGUAAAAUACUAAGUCUAGUAGUCAAAUAAUUUACGAAAUGAUGAGUAAAUUUCACUAAAAUUAGGUUGUCACAAAAACCUAAAGUAGCUACAACUCAUACUAGUAUGGUAACUGAUAAAAUUAGGACUUUCGUACUACUUGCUCUUAAAUGGAUGUCCCCUAUCAUAGCUUUGUUUCCUGCCCAUCCCAAACAAUAAUUCAUUAUUAAAUAUCGUUAAGAUUAAAAUUA